RNAcentral lists this ribosomal RNA (165 nucleotides) under Curcuma aromatica. RNAcentral's name for it is "5.8S ribosomal RNA". It matches the Rfam family "5.8S ribosomal RNA". From Rfam's summary of the family: 5.8S ribosomal RNA (5.8S rRNA) is a component of the large subunit of the eukaryotic ribosome. It is transcribed by RNA polymerase I as part of the 45S precursor that also contains 18S and 28S rRNA. Lineage: Eukaryota; Viridiplantae; Streptophyta; Magnoliopsida; Zingiberales; Zingiberaceae. RNAcentral also lists the same sequence under 1 other name. The record is from RNAcentral.
CAAAUGACUCUCGGCAAUGGAUAUCUCGGCUCUUGCAUCGAUGAAGAACGUAGUGAAAUGCGAUACUUGGUGUGAAUUGCAGAAUCUCGUGAACCAUUGAGUCUUUGAACGCAAGUUGUGCCCGAGGUCUUGUGGUCGAGGGCACGCCUGCUUGGGCGUCAUGGC